This 1564-nucleotide long non-coding RNA is filed under the name Aedes aegypti (yellow fever mosquito). RNAcentral describes it as "lncRNA AAEL023747". The record is from RNAcentral. Lineage: Eukaryota; Metazoa; Arthropoda; Insecta; Diptera; Culicidae.
AUGUCACUAAGCUCUAUGCAGUUUGACACUUAUGUACCCGACAUGUUUCUGAGCGAGAACAAAGGGAACAGCUGUUACGUUUAAGUCUGAGUUGUGUAAGAUAUGCAAAUUAAAGUCAGUCAGCACGUAAAUAUUGUAAGCCUUUAACAUUCAGAAUAAAAUAAACUGCUCCGCAAACCGCAAAUUGAGAACCCCUGCACACGUUUGUAUUCCAUCCGUCAACCGAGAAGAACGACCGAUCGGUGACGCUCACAGAAUUUGGUAUAUCUGCACACCAUGAAACCACCUUCUGCAUAGCAUCGAGAACGUGCACCAGGAAAUAACAACCACAUAAGACUGCCACUACCACAACGUCAAGCUAGAGCAGAGAGACCGCUCUCUGCGCUCUUUUACGCACACAGUCGUCACACACGCCACGACGGGGGAGACGAUUGAGAAUUAUUCGCAGCCAGCUCACUCAGUUAGUGUCAGCCCGCCGAAACGACAGUGCACGCAAAUCGAAAGAGUCCGGUCUUCGUUGAAACGAAAAACUUAGCCGUCCACCUUGUGAAGUUUGGUAGGAUAACCGCGUGUGGUUCCUCGAGUGAAAUUAGUGCCAGGCAGGAGGCCCACCAUUUGAUUCCAGCCAAGGGAAAUAGAGCGCACAGAGGGACACACGGACCACCAUUUUGCAUUUCGGUUUGCAGAAACCACGUUGCCCAGGGUAAAAAAAAACAAAAAACUCAUACGAUCAGCCCUCGAAGUCGAGAAACAGCGCGACGGUCGGAACCGGUGCGUGGGAACCCAACCAGUUGGUGCAUCGUUUCCACCACGCCGGACUACUGUAACCCUGAUUGCACCAUUCCCGAAAGUCAACCGAUAGUCAUACAUCCCCGGGACAAAGAAAGCCUUCCAUAGGAAGGCUUUCUUUUUUUGUUUAUUGCAGUCAGUUCGAGGGGUCAUUGGGAGCAGCCAGACGAGCCAGGCGGUGGCAGCGAGUCAGUGUGGUCUUCAACCCCCCUCAAUCCGGUUCAAGUCAACCGCGGAUCUAAUCUCGCCAACAUUGGGGAAGGCACCCGGUGGCGUGCGUCAUAUGAUCACCGAUUAGACGGAUUCGGAGCGAUUGGCGGUUCUCGGCUGGUGCAGGAAGGAAGCGAUUAUCCGGAGGGACGAAACUAUCCGCUAGGCAGAGCAGCGUCAGAGAACUGCACGCGGUCUCGUGGGUGUCGUCAGUUCAGCAGCAAGAUCAAGUCGGUGUGAGCAUCGGCCAGAAAGGCGGAAUGAUGUGGCUGCAGAGCGUCAACGGGGUAGCGGCGGUAAGCAGGGCGCGCCCGAAAGUGCAGUGAGUAGAGCAAAUCUAGUUUUUAAGCAAAGUAAAGGUUAAAGGAGAGGCUAGGAGUCAGAAGAUAGGAGGAAAGGAUCAGGAAAAGGAAAAUGAUGGUCAGUAAAUAAAAAACUUGUAACCAUGAUCAGUUUUGUGUUGGAAUUCAGUUAUUUGUGCGCAUUCCCUUAAGAGCUUUCCGGGGCUGAUCGAGGUUUCCAUUCCCCCCUCGACAGACACUCGCAACACAGCAGCGACAUUCGU